Molecule: transfer RNA, 69 nt
Filed under: Enterococcus faecium
Lineage: Bacteria; Bacillati; Bacillota; Bacilli; Lactobacillales; Enterococcaceae
Description: tRNA-Met
Rfam family: tRNA
About the family: Transfer RNA (tRNA) molecules are approximately 80 nucleotides in length. Their secondary structure includes four short double-helical elements and three loops (D, anti-codon, and T loops).
Source: RNAcentral
ACCUUUAGCUCAGUUGGUUAGAGCAGACGGCUCAUAACCGUCCGGUCGUAGGUUCGAGUCCUACAAGGU